GGCGAACGGGUGAGUAACACGUAAAGAACCUGCCUCAUAGACUGGGACAACUAUUGGAAACGAUAGCUAAUACCGGAUAACAGUAUUUCUCGCAUGAGAGAUAUUUAAAAGUUGGUUAUGCUAACACUAUGAGAUGGCUUUGCGGUGCAUUAGCUAGUUGGUGGGGUAAAGGCCCACCAAGGCGACGAUGCAUAGCCGACCUGAGAGGGUGAUCGGCCACACUGGGACUGAGACACGGCCCAGACUCC
This 248-nucleotide ribosomal RNA is filed under the name uncultured Gemella sp. RNAcentral describes it as "partial 16S ribosomal RNA". It matches the Rfam family "Bacterial small subunit ribosomal RNA", at positions 97 to 339 of the family's 1533-position model. The record is from RNAcentral. Lineage: Bacteria; Bacillati; Bacillota; Bacilli; Caryophanales; Gemellaceae.